This 489-nucleotide long non-coding RNA is filed under the name Medicago truncatula (barrel medic). RNAcentral's name for it is "lncRNA gene20929". The record is from RNAcentral. Lineage: Eukaryota; Viridiplantae; Streptophyta; Magnoliopsida; Fabales; Fabaceae.
GAAUUCGAGUCGAGUUUCGAGCCGAACUAUUUCUUAAAGAGUUGAGUCGAGCUUAGACAAGUUCGACACGAUUCGAUACAUUUCCAGCCCUAACCACAGCCCAACAAGAGCAAGACUAGGAACAUAACCCAUCAGUCAACCAAUCCAAGACAAAUCUACCAUAAGUCACUAACAGUGUCAACAUAGAAUGUGUUCAUGAUCCCAAUCAUAGAAGGAACAAGUGUGACCAUAAUGUUUUCAUAAAAACCAAUUUCAAGAGGAAAAUUUAACAAUAUCCACCAACCGUAGCAGAUACGUCCCUUCUCCAAAAUGAUGUGAGCGUUUCGGGAUCUCCACAAGGGCCACACAAGGGCAAUGAGGAACUAUUGAACUUUUAUUUUGUUUGUCAGUUGCUGUUUUGGAUAAUCUUGAUCAAGUUGAUUUAUGUUACUCUUUUGGAUUAUGUUUAUGACAUAUGGUUAUGGUGUUCAGUAGAAGAGAUUUGAUGUU